Long non-coding RNA from Anastrepha ludens (Mexican fruit fly), 700 nucleotides. RefSeq lists it as uncharacterized. NCBI's taxonomy places the organism in Eukaryota, Metazoa, Arthropoda, Insecta, Diptera, Tephritidae. The transcript has 2 exons. The record is from RefSeq and is a predicted model, not a curated record.
CGCCGGUCAGCCAAGAAGGUGGAAGAACGCAUCGCGAAAUAAACGGAACCCAGCGGAGUUGUAAAGAUUGGAUCUUGUUAAAUUCACGCUACUGGAUCGGCGACAAUUAUGCUUAUCACGCGAAAUAUUAUAUUAAAUAGGUUGGGUAAAAGGAAAUCCAUUAAUUUCUCGGCUGAUGGCUGUAGUGACAAGCUGACCUUUCACACUAAAAAAAAAUGUUUUGCUUUUUUUUUGUUGCUUCCAUUCCGUUGUGCGUUACAGGGUGUUAACAAUGGAAGUCCAGGUUAAGAAAUAGAUGCCAUGAAUGGUGGUACACAAAAAUAGUAAAAAGUGUAAAAAGUAGUAGUAGGCGGUCACAUAACAACUGAAAAUGUAAUCGGCAAGAUGAUAAGUAGCGAAGAAACGUUGGAGAUCAUCAGUGUUUUCGCUGUAAGAAUUCUCCGUAUAAUAAAGCGGCACUUGGGCGCAGGCACAUAGGCCACAUAGACCUUUGUAAUGAGGAAGAUGCAAUGCCGCUAAGAAGUAAUGCGAAAGCGGUUCCAGGGUGGGUGAUGGUUCCAAACGAGGAGCAGUUUUUUACUCCUCGGCCAUACCAUUACUGCGACAACAGCUUUGAUGAUGCAUUAGGCAUUUCAAACAACCUCAUCCGCAAAAAAAAAAACAAAAAACAAAUUUCGUUGUUUCAUUUUCAUUUAAAACU